RNAcentral lists this RNase P RNA (360 nucleotides) under Pseudodesulfovibrio mercurii. RNAcentral's name for it is "Desulfovibrio desulfuricans ND132 RNA component of RNaseP". It matches the Rfam family "Bacterial RNase P class A". From Rfam's summary of the family: Ribonuclease P (RNase P) is a ubiquitous endoribonuclease, found in archaea, bacteria and eukarya as well as chloroplasts and mitochondria. Its best characterised activity is the generation of mature 5'-ends of tRNAs by cleaving the 5'-leader elements of precursor-tRNAs. Lineage: Bacteria; Pseudomonadati; Thermodesulfobacteriota; Desulfovibrionia; Desulfovibrionales; Desulfovibrionaceae. The record is from RNAcentral.
GGAGUCGGGCAGGUCAUCGCCGCGGUCCAACGACCGGGGAGGAAAGUCCGGGCUCCACAGGGCAGGACGCUGGGUAACGCCCAGGGGGAGCGAUCCCCGUCAAGUGCAACAGAAAGCAGACCGCCUCCGGGAUUUCCCGGCGGUAAGGGUGAAACGGUGGGGUAAGAGCCCACCGGCUGUCGCGGCGACGCGGCAGGCCAGGUGAACUCCGUCCGGAGCAAGACCGAAUAGGACAGCGUUUGAGGCCGGCCCGGCCGAGCUGUCGGGUUGGUUGCUCGAGCCGUCCGGUAACGGCCGGCCUAGAUGAAUGAUGACCACCCCGCAAGGGGAACAAAACCCGGCUUAUGACCGGCUCCGACU